GCUGGCGGCGUGCCUAAUACAUGCAAGUCGAGCGAACAGACGAGGAGCUUGCUCCUUUGACGUUAGCGGCGGACGGGUGAGUAACACGUGGGUAACCUACCUAUAAGACUGGGAUAACUUCGGGAAACCGGAGCUAAUACCGGAUAAUAUUUCGAACCGCAUGGUUCGAUAGUGAAAGAUGGCUCUGCUAUCACUUAUAGAUGGACCUGCGCCGUAUUAGCUAGUUGGUAAGGUAACGGCUUACCAAGGCAACGAUACGUAGCCGACCUGAGAGGGUGAUCGGCCACACUGGAACUGAGACACGGUCCAGACUCUACGGGAGGCAGCAGUAGGGAAUCUUCCGCAAUGGGCGAAAGCUGACGGAGCAACGCCGCGUGAGUGAUGAAGGUCUUCGGAUCGUAAAACUCUGUUAUUAGGGAAGAACAAACGUGUAAGUAACUGUGCACGUCUUGACGGUACCUAAUCAGAAAGCCACGGCUAACUACGUGCCAGCAGCCGCGGUAAUACGUAGGUGGCAAGCGUUAUCCGGAAUUAUUGGGCGUAAAGCGCGCGUAGGCGGUUUNNNAAGUCUGAUGUGAAAGCCCACGGCUCNACCGUGGAGGGUCAUUGGAAACUGGAAAACUUGAGUGCAGAAGAGGAAAGUGGAAUUCCAUGUGUAGCGGUGAAAUGCGCAGAGAUAUGGAGGAACACCAGUGGCGAAGGC
RNAcentral lists this ribosomal RNA (703 nucleotides) under Staphylococcus sp. DBT27. Its description in RNAcentral is "bacterial SSU rRNA". It matches the Rfam family "Bacterial small subunit ribosomal RNA", at positions 35 to 722 of the family's 1533-position model. Lineage: Bacteria; Bacillati; Bacillota; Bacilli; Caryophanales; Staphylococcaceae. The record is from RNAcentral.